CUGGGGAAUAUCGGUAUCGGAUUCUGGGCGUAAGCGCACGCAGGCGGUCUGUCAAGUCGGAUGUGAAAUCCCCGGGCUCAACCUGGGAACUGCAUUCGAAACUGGCAGGCUAGAGUCUUGUAGAGGGGGGUAGAAUUCCAGGUGUAGCGGUGAAAUGCGUAGAGAUCUGGAGGAAUACCGGUGGCGAAGGCGGCCCCCUGGACAAAGACUGACGCUCAGGUGCGAAAGCGUGGGGAGCAAACAGGAUUAGAUACCCUGGUAGUCCACGCCGUAAACGAUGUCGAUUUGGAGGUUGUGCCCUUGAGGCGUGGCUUCCGGAGCUAACGCGUUAAAUCGACCGCCUGGGGAGUACGGCCGCAAGGUUAAAACUCAAAUGAAUUGACGGGGGCCCGCACAAGCGGUGGAGCAUGUGGUUUAAUUCGAUGCAACGCGAAGAACCUUACCUGGUCUUGACAUCCACAGAACUUUCCAGAGAUGGAUUGGUGCCUUCGGGAACUGUGAGACAGGUGCUGCAUGGCUGUCGUCAGCUCGUGUUGUGAAAUGUUGGGUUAAGUCCCGCAACGAGCGCAACCCUUAUCCUUUGUUGCCAGCGGUUCGGCCGGGAACUCAAAGGAGACUGCCUGUGAUCAACUGGAGGAAUGUGGGGAUGACGUCAAGUCUUCAUUGCCCUUUACGACUAGGGCUACCACGUGCUACAAUGGCAUGUACAAAGAGCAAGCCACCUCCCGAGAGCAGCGUACCUCACAAAGUUGUCGUAGUCUCAAUGGAAUCUGCUACUCGACUGAUGAGCCUGAAUCGUUGUAAUCUGAUCAGAAUGUACGGUCAUACGUUCCCGGCCUGUCACACCUUCCGUCCACCAUGGGACAGGGUGCAAAAGUAGUAGUCUAGCUUUCGGAGGCGCUACAGUUGUGAUCAUGAUGGGGUGA
This 926-nucleotide ribosomal RNA is filed under the name Streptomyces pilosus. RNAcentral's name for it is "bacterial SSU rRNA". It matches the Rfam family "Bacterial small subunit ribosomal RNA", at positions 528 to 1483 of the family's 1533-position model. The record is from RNAcentral. Lineage: Bacteria; Bacillati; Actinomycetota; Actinomycetes; Kitasatosporales; Streptomycetaceae.